GAGCGGCGGACGGGUGAGUAAUGCUUAGGAAUCUGCCCAGUAGAGGGGGAUAGCCCGGGGAAACCCGGAUUAAUACCGCAUACGCCCUACGGGGGAAAGCAGGGGAUCUUCGGACCUUGCGCUAUUGGAUGAGCCUAAGUCGGAUUAGCUAGUUGGUGGGGUAAAGGCCUACCAAGGCGACGAUCCGUAGCUGGUCUGAGAGGAUGAUCAGCCACAUCGGGACUGAGACACGGCCCGAACUCCUACGGGAGGCAGCAGUGGGGAAUAUUGGACAAUGGGGGCAACCCUGAUCCAGCCAUGCCGCGUGUGUGAAGAAGGCUUUCGGGUUGUAAAGCACUUUCAGUGAGGAGGAAGGCUCAAAGGUUAAUACCCUUUGGGAUUGACGUUACUCACAGAAGAAGCACCGGCUAACUCCGUGCCAGCAGCCGCGGUAAUACGGAGGGUGCAAGCGUUAAUCGGAAUUACUGGGCGUAAAGCGCGCGUAGGUGGUUUGAUAAGCGAGAUGUGAAAGCCCCGGGCUUAACCUGGGAACGGCAUUUCGAACUGUUAGGCUAGAGUGUGGUAGAGGGUAGUGGAAUUUCCUGUGUAGCGGUGAAAUGCGUAGAU
RNAcentral lists this ribosomal RNA (606 nucleotides) under Marinobacter sp. Its description in RNAcentral is "bacterial SSU rRNA". It matches the Rfam family "Bacterial small subunit ribosomal RNA", at positions 93 to 695 of the family's 1533-position model. The record is from RNAcentral. Lineage: Bacteria; Pseudomonadati; Pseudomonadota; Gammaproteobacteria; Pseudomonadales; Marinobacteraceae.